AUACGGAGGGUGCAAGCGUUGUUCGGAAUUACUGGGCGUAAAGGGCGCGCAGGCGGUUUGGUAAGUCAGAUGUGAAAGUCCACGGCUCAACCGUGGAAGUGCAUUUGAAACUGUCAGACUUGAGUACUAGAGGGGAAAGUGGAAUUCCCGGUGUAGAGGUGAAAUUCGUAGAUAUCGGGAGGAAUACCGGUGGCGAAGGCGACUUUCUGGCUAGAUACUGACGCUGAGGCGCGAAAGCGUGGGGAGCAAACAGGAUUAGAAACCCCGGUAGUCC
RNAcentral lists this ribosomal RNA (274 nucleotides) under uncultured bacterium. Its description in RNAcentral is "partial 16S ribosomal RNA". It matches the Rfam family "Bacterial small subunit ribosomal RNA", at positions 523 to 796 of the family's 1533-position model. The record is from RNAcentral.